UACGGGGGGGGUAAGCGUUGUUCGGAAUUACUGGGCGUAAAGGGCUCGUAGGCGGCCAACUAAGUCAUACGUGAAAUCCCUCAGCUUAACUGGGGAACUGCGUGUGAUACUGGAUGGCUUGGAUUUGGGAGAGGGAUGCGGAAUUCCGGGUGUAGCGGUGGAAUGCGUAGAGAUCCGGAAGAAUACCGGUGGCGAAGGCGGCCUGCUGGGCAGUUACUGACACUGAGGCGCGACAGCGUGGGGAGCAAACAGG
This 253-nucleotide ribosomal RNA is filed under the name uncultured bacterium. Its description in RNAcentral is "partial 16S ribosomal RNA". It matches the Rfam family "Bacterial small subunit ribosomal RNA", at positions 524 to 776 of the family's 1533-position model. The record is from RNAcentral.